GCGAGCUGAUCCCCUUCGGGGGUGACGCUCGUGGAACGAGCGGCGGACGGGUGAGUAACACGUGGGUAACCUGCCUGUAAGAUCGGAAUAACUCCGGGAAACCGGAGCUAAUGCCGGGUAACAUGUUCUUCCGCAUGGAGGAACAUUAAAAGAUGGCUUCUUGCUAUCACUUACAGAUGGACCCGCGGCGCAUUAGCUAGUUGGUGAGGUAACGGCUCACCAAGGCGACGAUGCGUAGCCGACCUGAGAGGGUGAUCGGCCACACUGGGACUGAGACACGGCCCAGACUCCUACGGGAGGCAGCAGUAGGGAAUCUUCCGCAAUGGACGAAAGUCUGACGGAGCAACGCCGCGUGAACGAUGAAGGUCUUCGGAUCGUAAAGUUCUGUUGUUAGGGAAGAACAAGUACCGUUCAAACAGGGCGGUACCUUGACGGUACCUAACGAGGAAGCCCCGGCUAACUACGUGCCAGCAGCCGCGGUAAUACGUAGGGGGCAAGCGUUGUCCGGAAUUAUUGGGCGUAAAGCGCGCGCAGGCGGUUCCUUAAGUCUGAUGUGAAAGGCCACGGCUCAACCGUGGAGGGCCAUUGGAAACUGGGGAACUUGAGGACAGAAGAGGAGAGUGGAAUUCCACGUGUAGCGGUGAAAUGCGUAGAUAUGUGGAGGAACACCAGUGGCGAAGGCGACUCUCUGGUCUGUCUCUGACGCUGAGGUGCGAAAGCGUGGGUAGCAAACAGGAUUAGAUACCCUGGUAGUCCACGCCGUAAACGAUGAGUGCUAGGUGUUAGGGGGCUUCCACCCCUUAGUGCUGAAGUUAACGCAUUAAGCACUCCGCCUGGGGAGUACGGCCGCAAGGCUGAAACUCAAAGGAAUUGACGGG
RNAcentral lists this ribosomal RNA (878 nucleotides) under Halobacillus sp. SB23. RNAcentral's name for it is "bacterial SSU rRNA". It matches the Rfam family "Bacterial small subunit ribosomal RNA", at positions 57 to 917 of the family's 1533-position model. The record is from RNAcentral. Lineage: Bacteria; Bacillati; Bacillota; Bacilli; Caryophanales; Bacillaceae.